This 425-nucleotide ribosomal RNA is filed under the name uncultured bacterium. Its description in RNAcentral is "bacterial SSU rRNA". It matches the Rfam family "Bacterial small subunit ribosomal RNA", at positions 358 to 773 of the family's 1533-position model. The record is from RNAcentral.
GGAAUAUUGCGCAAUGGUCGAAAGACUGACGCAGCGACGCCGCGUGUGGGAUGAAGCCUUUCGGGGUGUAAACCACUGUCAGAAGGGAAGAACCCCGUACGUUCGAACAGGGCGUACGGCUGACGGUACCUUCAGAGGAAGCGCCGGCUAACUCCGUGCCAGCCGCCGCGGUAAGCCGGAGGGCGCAAGCGUUGUUCGGAAUUACUGGGCGUAAAGCGCACGCAGGCGGUCUUUUAAGUCUUCUGUGAAAACCCGGAGCUCAACUCCGCGGAAUGCAGAAGAUACUGGGAGACUGGAGAUCGGUAGAGGCUAGUGGAAUUCCUGGUGUAGCGGUGGAAUGCGUAGAUAUCAGGAGGAACACCGGUGGCGAAGGCGACUAGCUGGGCCGAAUCUGACGCUCAUGUGCGAAAGCGUGGGGAGCAAAC